AACGAACGCUGGCGGCAGGCCUAACACAUGCCAGUCGAGCGAGCAUUUCGGUGCUAGCGGCGGACGGGUGAGUAACGCGUGGGAACGUGCCCUUUUCUGCGGAAUAGUCCUGGGAAACUGGGGGUAAUACCGCAUACGCCCUUUUGGGGAAAGAUUUAUCGGAGAAGGAUCGGCCCGCGUUGGAUUAGGUAGUUGGUGGGGUAAUGGCCCACCAAGCCGACGAUCCAUAGCUGGUUUGAGAGGAUGAUCAGCCACACUGGGACUGAGACACGGCCCAGACUCCUACGGGAGGCAGCAGUGGGGAAUCUUAGACAAUGGGGGCAACCCUGAUCUAGCCAUGCCGCGUGAGUGAUGAAGGCCUUAGGGUUGUAAAGCUCUUUCAGCUGGGAAGAUAAGGACGGUACCAGCAGAAGAAGCCCCGGCUAACUCCGU
RNAcentral lists this ribosomal RNA (432 nucleotides) under uncultured bacterium. Its description in RNAcentral is "partial 16S ribosomal RNA". It matches the Rfam family "Bacterial small subunit ribosomal RNA", at positions 29 to 506 of the family's 1533-position model. The record is from RNAcentral.